UGGGACACAGAGGAAGGAUCAUACGGGAUGUGGUGACCAGCAAAGUUACGUGAAUUGAUAUCCUGCAAAAUUAUUGAAGAUAUCAGCACUGGACCCUGAGCAGUGCAUGGCCUGCAAGAUCAUGAGAAGGCUGAAGAACCAGGAGUGACAAGAUACCACUGGAUGGUGGGGCACAUAAUUCCACUCAGGGAGAGGUAAGCAAACAGGCAAGACAUAGAGAGAGAUAGGACCCCAUCCAACCUGACAGAGCGUGUGAGGAUCUGCAGAAAAGAAUGGCAGAACAUCCCCAAAUCCAGGGUAUUGAGUGUAGAUUGAUGAGCUCAAUAAGGAUUGGAACAACAUUGACGGGGGGAAACACCCAAAGUCCAUCACUCAUGCACCGAGGAUCUGGCUGAUUACUGGAAAUUUGGAAGAUUGUUCUUUAUCUGCACUGUCACUUCUGGUAAAUAUUUAUGAAGAAGAAAUAUACUUUAUUAAUCCACAAGGGGAAAUUAGUUCUCUGCAUUUAACCCAUCCUUAGUUAUUAAGGAGCAGUGGGCUGCAGUGAUGCGCCCAGGAAGCAACUGGGGGUUCAGUGCCUUGC
Long non-coding RNA from Pseudoliparis swirei, 583 nucleotides. RefSeq lists it as uncharacterized. Lineage: Eukaryota; Metazoa; Chordata; Actinopteri; Perciformes; Liparidae. The transcript has 5 exons. The record is from RefSeq and is a predicted model, not a curated record.